RNAcentral lists this ribosomal RNA (408 nucleotides) under uncultured bacterium. Its description in RNAcentral is "partial 16S ribosomal RNA". It matches the Rfam family "Bacterial small subunit ribosomal RNA", at positions 28 to 526 of the family's 1533-position model. The record is from RNAcentral.
GACGAACGCUGGCGGCGUGCUUAACACAUGCAAGUCGAACGAAGUGGCGAACGGGUGAGUAACGCGUAAUCAACCUGCCCUUCAGAGGGGGACAACAGUUGGAAACGACUGCUAAUACCGCAUACUGAAGGAGGGGAUUGCGUCGGAUUAGAGAGGUGGAGGGGUAAAGGCCCACCAAGGCGAUGAUCAGUAGCCGGUCUGAGAGGAUGAACGGCACCAGUGGGACGGCGACACGGCCCAGACUCCGACGGGAGGCAGCAGGGGGGAAUCUUCCGCAAGGGACGAAAGUCUGACGGAGCAACGCCGCGUUAGUGAUGACGGCCUUCGGGUUGUAAAGCUCUGUUAAUCGGGACGCGGUACCGGAAUAGAAAGCCACGGCUAACUACGUGCCAGCCGCCGCGGUAAUAC